Molecule: non-coding RNA, 127 nt
Organism: Paracoccidioides brasiliensis
Lineage: Eukaryota; Fungi; Ascomycota; Eurotiomycetes; Onygenales; Ajellomycetaceae
Source: Rfam
CACUCGUGCGAGUAAUCCACGAUUGCUGUGGCGCGCUAAGCCCUGGCCUGGACCCUCGAGGGAAGCGAUUCUGCAGAGAACAGGCCCCCCGGAGAUGGCGGCGCCAGACAACACCCCUCGCUGCACA